UACGUAGGGUGCAAGCGUUAAUCGGAAGUACUGGGCGUAAAGCGUGCGCAGGCGGUUUUGUAAGUCUGACGUGAAAGCCCCGGGCUCAACCUGGGAAUUGCGUUGGAGACUGCAAGGCUAGAAUCUGGCAGAGGGGGGUAGAAUUCCACGUGUAGCAGUGAAAUGCGUAGAGAUGUGGAGGAACACCGAUGGCGAAGGCAGCCCCCUGGGUCAAGAUUGACGCUCAUGCACGAAAGCGUGGGGAGCAAACAGG
This 253-nucleotide ribosomal RNA is filed under the name uncultured bacterium. Its description in RNAcentral is "partial 16S ribosomal RNA". It matches the Rfam family "Bacterial small subunit ribosomal RNA", at positions 524 to 776 of the family's 1533-position model. The record is from RNAcentral.